RNAcentral lists this ribosomal RNA (253 nucleotides) under uncultured bacterium. RNAcentral's name for it is "partial 16S ribosomal RNA". It matches the Rfam family "Bacterial small subunit ribosomal RNA", at positions 524 to 776 of the family's 1533-position model. The record is from RNAcentral.
UACGUAGGGGGCAAGCGUUGUCCGGAAUCAUUGGGCGUAAAGCGCGUGUAGGCGGCCCGAUAAGUCCGCUGUGAAAGUCCAGGGCUCAACCCUGGGAUGCCGGUGGAUACUGUCGGGCUCGAGUCCGGAAGAGGCGAGUGGAAUUCCUGGUGUAGCGGUGAAAUGCGCAGAUAUCAGGAGGAACACCGAUUGCGAAGGCAGCUCGCUGGGACGUAACUGACGCUGAGACGCGAAAGCGUGGGGAGCAAACAGG